Molecule: non-coding RNA, 26 nt
Filed under: Homo sapiens (human)
Lineage: Eukaryota; Metazoa; Chordata; Mammalia; Primates; Hominidae
Source: RNAcentral
AGGAGUUCGGGGCCAUAGUAUGCGAU